CCUACGGGAGGCAGCAGUAGGGAAUUUUGCGCAAUGGGGGAAACCCUGACGCAGCAACGCCAUGUGUGGGAUGAAGCAUUUCGGUGUGUAAACCACUGUCAGCAGGGAAUAAAAGGCCUUAUAGGCAUUUGAAUGUACCUGCGAAGGAAGCCCCGGCUAACUUCGUGCCAGCAGCCGCGGUAAU
Molecule: ribosomal RNA, 184 nt
Filed under: uncultured bacterium
Lineage: Bacteria
Description: partial 16S ribosomal RNA
Rfam family: Bacterial small subunit ribosomal RNA
Source: RNAcentral